Molecule: unclassified non-coding RNA, 349 nt
Filed under: soil metagenome
Description: partial contains 5.8S ribosomal RNA, internal transcribed spacer 2, and large subunit ribosomal RNA
Rfam family: 5.8S ribosomal RNA (bases 1-120)
Source: RNAcentral
GAUGAAGAACGUAGCGAAAUGCGAUACGUAAUGUGAAUUGCAGAAUUCAGAGAAUCAUCGAGUCUUUGAACGCACAUUGCGCCCCCUGGUAUUCCGGGGGGCAUGCCUGUCCGAGCGUCAUUGCUGCCCUCAAGCACGGCUUGUGUGUUGGGCCUCCGCCCCCCGGCUCCCGGGGGGCGGGCCCGAAAGGCAGCGGCGGCACCGCGUCCGGUCCUCGAGCGUAUGGGGCUUCGUCACCCGCUCCGUAGGCCCGGCCGGCGCCCGCCGGCGACCCCCCUCAAUCUUUCCAGGUUGACCUCGGAUCAGGUAGGGAUACCCGCUGAACUUAAGCAUAUCAAUAAGCGGAGGA